CUCUCCACCGACUGCAACCUCCGUGCUCACAGCUCACGGUUCACCAGAAUCCAGGGGCUUGGUCGGCCUAGGAAUCCACAAUGCUGGAUAUUUUCAUCCUGAUGUUCUUUGCCAUCAUAGGCCUGGUCAUUCUGUCCUACAUUAUCUAUCUGCUCUAGUGGCCUGGAGCUGCGGCCGGAGCCUGCUGGAGAACAGCUCAGAAGGAAGGAUGGAGAUGAAUGGCCGAGUGCCCUGCUUGCUGACGCACCGGUGGAUUUUUGCUUCUGCUGUUAUCUCGGGUAUUGAUUCCAAAAAAAAAAGAAAAGAAAAAAAGAAAGAGUUUGCUUUCCUAUUUUUUUUCUUAGACCACUCUGAAAAGAAUAAGAAAUGCCAGCUUCUUUCUUUGGGACCUAAUUUAAAAUAAGACUUUAAAAAUUACAAAUAAAAUCCACAAUGUAAACGAUUUUUAGGCAGAACGGGUUGGGAAUGAUGGAUGUGGUGGGGAGGGACUAUUAUUUCCUAAUUUCUUCUUCAAGUUAGGUGCUCAAACUCAAGUUGUCUAUUUUCUUCUGGUAAUUAAAGGUAAAACACAUCUUUGCAUGUCAGCAUACUUGCAAUAUAGUUGUUUACAACUAUGCUUGUAUAAUUGCAUUACUUAAUGAUUGACUCAUUCUUAUUUGAGGGUGAGACGGCAAAUAAAUUUUACUUGGGGUGGGGUUUUCGGGGAGAUGUCCAACUGUGGGAUAUGGUGGAGAGGAGGGAGGAACUCCUGGUACUUUGCAGUUGUCCCCAUCUGAGACUUUUUAUUUCUGGGUUUCUUACAGCUCCUGGUCUCUCCAGUCCAACAAGAGGCCUCUCAUCCACAGAAGCAGUCCUACUGCCCAGCAGACCUCUUUCAGAGCCUUCCAGACAUGGCUGACCCCUGGCAAGCAAGGGGCUUUUUGAGCUGAGAGGCACUUGGCUGGGACUUCAGGAAUUCAUGGACAGGGCUGGCAGAUACUGCAUAUGUUUGAGCUGUAGAUGGGAUUGAGAACAGAAAGUUGAAAUGGAGACUUAUUAAAGUUACCGUGGAGAACUGCUCAAAAAUUCAUUUUGAAUUAAGGAAACUUAAAUUCAUUUUAAGUUUCCUUAGAUCUAAAUGCAACUGCACAUUACACUCAAAUAUGUUCCUUCCUUCUCACACACAGGACUCCCUUGUGAAACUCAAGGGGAAGUUCAAGUUGUCCAUCUUCAUCUAUGAAGUAGUCACUUUAUCACUGUCUUUACAGAUUGCACAGUCUGGGGUUUUGUGGUUUCUCUUGUCUCACUCUCCAGCCAGGAAGAACUUGUCAUUUGAGUUUUUAAAAUGUAUCAUUUCUUCCCCACCUCAAACCACUUGUAUCCCAGUUUCUCAUUUAAAGGGAGAAAUGGUUAUAUAGUCCUCUCUUUGCACCUGAUUGAAUUAUAAAUGAUAGAAACAAGAUGGCUAUACUUAUUUAGGAAAAAUCUCUUACCCCAAAAUGAGUGUGUGUGUGUGUGUGUGUGUGCGUGUGUGUGUGUGUGUGUGUUUUAAUCAAAGAUCUUUUCUGGAAAAAACUUUCCACAUAGUUCUCUGACCCAUUAGAGUUGAAGAAACUAUGUAUUUUGGGAUUCAGAGUAGAAUUGGCCUGCAAAUCUGGGGUGUUUAUUCCUUUUACAAGUCUAUCAUAAUUGUUCUACAUUUAAUUUUCCUUUCUUGCUUAAAAGUAAACAAGGAGAGUCAGGAGUGGUGGCUCAUGCCUGUAAUCCCAGCACUCUGGGAGGCCGAGGCGGAUGGAUCACCUGAGGUCAGGAGUUGGAGACCAGCCUGGCCAACACGGUGAAACCCCGUCUCUACUAAAAAUACAAAAAUUAGUCAGGCACAGUAGUGCGCGCCUGUAGUCCCAGCUACCCGGGAGGCUGAGGCCGAAGAAUUGCUUGAACCCGGGAGGCAGAGGUUGUAGUGAGCCGACAUCAUGUCACUGCACUCCAGCCUGGGAGACAUAGCGAGAUUCCGUCUCAAAUAAAAUAAAAUAAAUAAAUAAAUAAACAAGGAGAAAGAUUAGUUUUUAGUAAUAACAUUGUGUCCAAUUUCCAUGUUUUAAAACAAAAAUUGAGGCAUUAUAUGUCACAACUGAAAUGGAAAAGUUGUGUUUAAAAAUUAUGGACAAGGCCGGGCACGGUGGCUCACGCCUGGAAUCCCAGCACUUUGGGAGGCUCAGGCAGGAGGAUCACUUGAGGUCGGGAGUUUGAGACCAGUCUGACCAACGUGGUGAAACCCUGUCUCUACUAAAAAUACAAAAAUUAGCUGGUGUGGUGGCAGGUGCCUGUAAUCCCAGCUACUCAGGAGGCUGAGGCAGGAGAAUCGCUUGAACCUGGGAGGCAGAGGUUGCAGUGAGCCGAGAUCACACCUCUGCACUCCAGCCUAGGUGACACAGCAAGACCCCAUCUCAAAAAAAAAUAAUAAUAAAAACAUAAAAAUUAUGGACAAGAAAAAACACUAUUCUGGAAGCUUUGUUUUGGCAACAAAUUAUAUGACCUGACCUUUCAUAAGUCAUUUAAACUUUAGGGCUAGGCCAGGUGCUAUGGCGCAUGCCUAUAAUCCCAGCAUUUAGGGAAGUAGAAGCAGGAGGAUAGCUUGAGGCCAAGAAUUCCAGACCAGCCCAGGCAAUAUAGCGAGACCCCCGUCUCCACAAAAAUAAAAAAUAAAAUAAAAAUAAAUAAAUACAUAAACUUUAGGUCCUCUGUUUAUUCUGUCAAAUGAAAGUGUUAGGCCAAGGUCGCAUUAUCUCUUUGGAAACUACAUCGAGAACAGAAUUCCCAUGGAACGAACUCUUAAUAGUUCACUGGUAGUCCCCCUUUUCUGAAUAUUCUUCCCAACAUGACACUUUAUAACAAAAAUUUAACUGCAAAACUCUUUUUUUUUCACCAACAGCCAGAUUUUGAUGAGAAAAUGGCCAUAUUUAUUUACUCCAAAUAUAUAUUAUGUCUGUGAUAAUUUGCCUAAACUGUUUAAGGAAUAUUAACAAGUAUGAUACUGCAUCGUGGUAUGUAGCAAAAAGAUAGGUAAUCUGACAUACAUGGAUGCAAGCAGCAUGGCUGUGAACCUGGAUAUAUUUAGAAAUGAUCUUCAGUGGAGUCCUUGAUGUGACAUUUUCCACUAAAACAUUCUUCUAACUCUGGUAUAUCUUAGUGUUUCGAACUAUAAUUUCCGUCUUCAAGCCAAGACAGCAGCUCUACAUCCUUACCUAGGUAAUUCAGGCAUGCGCCAGUAUUUUGGAGGGGUCCAAAUUAGAGUUAGUUAUGAUGGUAUAGAUCUUUAAAGUAUAGUCUAACCAAGCUUGCUCUGGUCUUUUGUGACAUCAAGGCUUCUCAGUCUGUAUUCACAUAAAGUUGAAACAACUAAUCAAUUCAGUGAAAAAAAAUCAGCAGAUUUCACUCAUACACUGGUGAUAUAUACCACUGGUAUUGGGUACAAUGUAAGGAGAGAGGAUUACCCAUCUCUUCAGUUACUUGUAAAAUAUGAUUUUAAAAAAAUAAAUCAAUACAUUUUGGAAAAAUUAUAUGACUUUGUGCUUAUAUUUAUGCAACAAUAUGCUAGCUUAUAACAGGGUUUUACUGUGUUAUUUUGAUAGUUGUUUAAAUUUUACAUUUAAACUAUUUGUAUUUUGGCAUCCCAAAACAUAAUAAAACACUGCAAAAAGUUACCUCUGUAAUAUAAGAUUUUGUAUAAAUUUUAUAAAUUUGUGUCAUAGGGUAAUUUUGUCCAAUAAAAUGUCAAUGAGAUAAAAACCACUCUGAAGAAUUAUAAAUUACUUAGAAAAAAAUCAAGUGACAAUGCUAAGAAUC
Molecule: long non-coding RNA, 3825 nt
Filed under: Homo sapiens (human)
Lineage: Eukaryota; Metazoa; Chordata; Mammalia; Primates; Hominidae
Description: HSALNT0389633
Source: RNAcentral